UUUGCGUUACAUCAACAUUGAAAAGUAGUUCCUUACCUUGACUACACAACAAAGUUGCACCGAAGAAGCACAGGUCAAAACGGAUCAAUCUCGAAGUGACGGUUAUUUCAAACAACUG
Long non-coding RNA from Etheostoma cragini (Arkansas darter), 118 nucleotides. RefSeq lists it as uncharacterized. NCBI's taxonomy places the organism in Eukaryota, Metazoa, Chordata, Actinopteri, Perciformes, Percidae. The transcript is spliced from 3 exons. The record is from RefSeq and is a predicted model, not a curated record.